RNAcentral lists this transfer RNA (70 nucleotides) under Danionella dracula. RNAcentral's name for it is "tRNA-Arg". It matches the Rfam family "tRNA". Rfam says of the family: Transfer RNA (tRNA) molecules are approximately 80 nucleotides in length. Their secondary structure includes four short double-helical elements and three loops (D, anti-codon, and T loops). Further hydrogen bonds mediate the characteristic L-shaped molecular structure. tRNAs have two regions of fundamental functional importance: the anti-codon, which is responsible for specific mRNA codon recognition, and the 3' end, to which the tRNAs corresponding amino acid is attached (by aminoacyl-tRNA synthetases). tRNAs cope with the degeneracy of the genetic code in two manners: having more than one tRNA (with a specific anti-codon) for a particular amino acid; and 'wobble' base-pairing, i.e. permitting non-standard base-pairing at the 3rd anti-codon position. Lineage: Eukaryota; Metazoa; Chordata; Actinopteri; Cypriniformes; Danionidae. The record is from RNAcentral.
AGAGGAUUAGUCUAAUAUAAGACCUUAGAUUUCGGCUCAAAUAAUUAUGGUUUAAAUCCAUAAUCCUCUU